Molecule: ribosomal RNA, 253 nt
Filed under: uncultured bacterium
Lineage: Bacteria
Description: partial 16S ribosomal RNA
Rfam family: Bacterial small subunit ribosomal RNA
Source: RNAcentral
UACGUAGGGGGCUAGCGUUGUCCGGAAUCAUUGGGCGUAAAGAGCGUGUAGGCGGCCCGGUAAGUCCGCUGUAAAAGUCAAAGGCUUAACCUUUGAAUGUCAGUGGAUACUGCCGGGCUAGAGUCCGGAAGAGGCGAGUGGAACUCCUGGUGUAGCGGUGGAAUGCGCAGAUAUCAGGAAGAACACCAACGGCGAAGGCAGCUCGCUGGGACGGUACUGACGCUGAGACGCGAAAGCGUGGGGAGCGAACAGG